This is a non-coding RNA of Gasterosteus aculeatus aculeatus (three-spined stickleback), 916 nucleotides long. The record is from RefSeq and is a predicted model, not a curated record. Lineage: Eukaryota; Metazoa; Chordata; Actinopteri; Perciformes; Gasterosteidae.
GUCUGUGCAUUGACUUUGUUUGUAAACUACUCUGUGUGAACACAGCAUUAAGAACCAUGUGUACGCUUGUAAUAUGUGCUGCUCUAAAGCUGAUUUCAAUAUUUGUCUUGCAGAUCCAGGAUGAGUUUCCCUGAAUCUCCACGUGCAGCUUGAAUCAAAGUUCAUGUCCGAGCAGGAGGAACCCACUCUCAAUCUUCUCAACCUCUUCCACUCAAAGUGCAGCCAUGGAGCUGAGGCUGAAGGCUAAAGGCAUCCUAUUCAAGACAUCCAGCAUCUCGAGCAUUACCACGACCAGAGAAGCUGUCAUUCAGGGUCUACCUUAUAGAGACGAUGGAUCAACUCAUAAAAGAGUGUGAUGAUGCUGGUGAAGACACCGUUUCACGGGACCUUGCAAUACAAAAGAUGAAAAUCUACAGGAAUAAGACGAACACGUCGAAGAGUCCAGAUGUCGGUAUCGUGUUGGACGGAGUAAAAGUUCUGACUGCACCGAGGGACUUUGCAAGGGCUUGUCUGCUGGUUGGGUUUGCAUAUCCAGUCAAUCUUGCACAUUCAAAGAAACUUAAACACAUUUAAGGUGUUCCAAGUUUUCUUGGAGCUGGACUGUUCAAACCUUUGACCCUUGGAGAAAACAAGGGAAUUGUUGUUACUGUUAGAACUCUCCAAUGUGGUUACUGUUUGUUCAAUGCAUGGUAAUUAUAUUUUUAAGAUUCACAUUGAGAAGUUUAGGUUUGGCUCUUUCCUGGAGUUCAGUUUUAGUGUUGCUAUAUAGUGUUAAUACUGCUUUAUUUGUGUUGUUCAAAUGUAUAUAAACCAUGCUUAUUUAAUGCAGCUUUUCCUGUAUGUAUUUAUAGAAAUUUGCACAAAUAAAGUUUAACCUGCGGUACUUAUGUAUGAUGAUGUGUUUGUUAAGUUUACU